CCUACGGGUGGCUGCAGUGGGGAAUAUUGGACAAUGGGCGAAAGCCUGAUCCAGCCAUGCCGCGUGUGUGAAGAAGGCCUUCGGGUUGUAAAGCACUUUCAGUGGGGAAGAAAGCCUUGGGGCUAAUACCCUCGAGGAAGGACAUCACCCACAGAAGAAGCACCGGCUAACUCCGUGCCCGCAGCCGCGGUAAUACGGAGGGUGCGAGCGUUAAUCGGAAUUACUGGGCGUAAAGCGCGCGUAGGCGGUCUGAUAAGCCGGUUGUGAAAGCCCCGGGCUCAACCUGGGAACGGCAUCCGGAACUGUCAGGCUAGAGUGCAGGAGAGGAAGGUAGAAUUCCCGGUGUAGCGGUGAAAUGCGUAGAGAUCGGGAGGAAUACCAGUGGCGAAGGCGGCCUUCUGGACUGACACUGACGCUGAGGUGCGAAAGCGUGGGUAGCAAACAGGAUUAGAUACCCUAGUAGUC
Molecule: ribosomal RNA, 465 nt
Filed under: Vreelandella stevensii
Lineage: Bacteria; Pseudomonadati; Pseudomonadota; Gammaproteobacteria; Oceanospirillales; Halomonadaceae
Description: partial 16S ribosomal RNA
Rfam family: Bacterial small subunit ribosomal RNA
Source: RNAcentral